Molecule: ribosomal RNA, 436 nt
Filed under: Babesia microti
Lineage: Eukaryota; Apicomplexa; Aconoidasida; Piroplasmida; Babesiidae
Description: SSU rRNA
Rfam family: Eukaryotic small subunit ribosomal RNA
Source: RNAcentral
AAUUACCCAAUCCUGACACAGGGAGGUAGUGACAAGAAAUAACAAUACAGGGCUUAAAGUCUUGUAAUUGGAAUGAUGGGAAUCUAAACCCCUCCCAGAGUAUCAAUUGGAGGGCAAGUCUGGUGCCAGCAGCCGCGGUAAUUCCAGCUCCAAUAGCGUAUAUUAAAGUUGUUGCAGUUAAGAAGCUCGUAGUUGAAUUUCUGCCUUGUCAUUAAUCUCGCUUCCGAGCGUUUUUUUAUUGACUUGGCAUCUUCUGGAUUUGGUGCCUUCGGGUACUAUUUUCCAGGAUUUACUUUGAGAAAACUAGAGUGUUUCAAACAGGCAUUCGCCUUGAAUACUACAGCAUGGAAUAAUGAAGUAGGACUUUGGUUCUAUUUUGUUGGUUAUUGAGCCAGAGUAAUGGUUAAUAGGAGCAGUUGGGGGCAUUCGUAUUUAA